RNAcentral lists this transfer RNA (64 nucleotides) under Ichneumonidae sp. MT-2014. Its description in RNAcentral is "tRNA-Val". The record is from RNAcentral. Lineage: Eukaryota; Metazoa; Arthropoda; Insecta; Hymenoptera; Ichneumonidae.
UUAAGUUUAGUUUAAAUUAAAAUUUAUUAUUUACAAUAAUAAGAUUUAUUUUGUAAAAUUUAAA